GUCCCUGUAGUGCGAUAGGUACCGCGUUGGACUUCCAAUCCAAAAGUCGUGGGCUCGAAUUCCAUCUGGGAUG
Molecule: transfer RNA, 73 nt
Filed under: Trichonephila inaurata madagascariensis
Lineage: Eukaryota; Metazoa; Arthropoda; Arachnida; Araneae; Nephilidae
Rfam family: tRNA
About the family: Transfer RNA (tRNA) molecules are approximately 80 nucleotides in length.
Source: Rfam by way of RNAcentral